RNAcentral lists this transfer RNA (118 nucleotides) under Paraburkholderia silvatlantica. RNAcentral describes it as "tRNA-His". It matches the Rfam family "transfer-messenger RNA", at positions 253 to 374 of the family's 374-position model. From Rfam's summary of the family: Bacterial tmRNA, also known as 10Sa RNA or SsrA, is named for its dual tRNA and mRNA-like properties. Lineage: Bacteria; Pseudomonadati; Pseudomonadota; Betaproteobacteria; Burkholderiales; Burkholderiaceae. The record is from RNAcentral.
GCCGUAGCGCAGCGUGUUCGUCCGCGUCGCUGCGGUUAAAUCAAAUGACAGAACUACGCAUGUAGAACUGGUUAUGGACUGCUUCUGGACGCGGGUUCGAUUCCCGCCGGCUCCACCA